Molecule: ribosomal RNA, 346 nt
Filed under: uncultured bacterium
Lineage: Bacteria
Description: partial 16S ribosomal RNA
Rfam family: Bacterial small subunit ribosomal RNA
Source: RNAcentral
CCUACGGGUGGCAGCAGUGAGGAAUAUUGGUCAAUGGACGAGAGUCUGAACCAGCCAAGUAGCGUGAAGGAUGACUGCCCUAUGGGUUGUAAACUUCUUUUAUAGGGGAAUAAAACAGGGCACGCAUACCCUCUUGUAUGUACCAUAUGAAUAAGGAUCGGCUAACUCCGUGCCAGCAGCCGCGGUAAUACGGAGGAUCCGAGCGUUAUCCGGAUUUAUUGGGGUUAAAGGGAGCGUAGGUGGCUUGUUAAGUCCGUUGUGAAAGUUUGCGGCUCAACCCUAAAAUUGCAGUUGCUACUGGCAGUCUUGAGUCCAGUCGUGGUGGGCGUAAUUCGUGGUGUAGCGG